CAGUAGCCGCGGUAAUACAGAGGGUGCGAGCGUUAAUCGGAUUUACUGGGCGUAAAGCGUGCGUAGGCGGCUUCUUAAGUCGGAUGUGAAAUCCCUGAGCUUAACUUAGGAAUUGCAUUCGAUACUGGGAAGCUAGAGUAUGGGAGAGGAUGGUAGAAUUCCAGGUGUAGCGGUGAAAUGCGUAGAGAUCUGGAGGAAUACCGAUGGCGAAGGCAGCCAUCUGGCCUAAUACUGACGCUGAGGUACGAAAGCAUGGGGAGCAAACAGGAUUAGAUACCCCUGUAUCCCUGUCUCUUACACA
This 301-nucleotide ribosomal RNA is filed under the name uncultured bacterium. RNAcentral describes it as "partial 16S ribosomal RNA". It matches the Rfam family "Bacterial small subunit ribosomal RNA", at positions 509 to 809 of the family's 1533-position model. The record is from RNAcentral.